AUACGGAGGAGGCUAACGUUGCUCGGAAUUACUGGGCGUAAAGGGCGUGUAGGCGGGACAUCAAGUUAGGCGUGAAAGCCCCGGGCUCAACCCGGGAACUGCGCUUGAUACUGGUGACCUAGAGUCCGGGAGAGGGUGGUGGAAUUCCCAGUGUAGAGGUGAAAUUCGUAGAUAUUGGGAAGAACACCAGUGGCGAAGGCGGCCACCUGGACCGGUACUGACGCUAAGGCGCGAAAGCGUGGGGAGCAAACAGGAUUAGAUACCCUGGUAGUCC
This 274-nucleotide ribosomal RNA is filed under the name uncultured bacterium. RNAcentral's name for it is "partial 16S ribosomal RNA". It matches the Rfam family "Bacterial small subunit ribosomal RNA", at positions 523 to 796 of the family's 1533-position model. The record is from RNAcentral.